Molecule: ribosomal RNA, 775 nt
Filed under: uncultured Neocallimastigales
Lineage: Eukaryota; Fungi; Neocallimastigomycota; Neocallimastigomycetes; Neocallimastigales
Description: partial large subunit ribosomal RNA
Rfam family: Eukaryotic large subunit ribosomal RNA
Source: RNAcentral
CGCAUCUGUGCAUGCAGCAUAUCAAUAAGCGGAGGAAAAGAAACUAACAAGGAUUCCCCUAGUAACGGCGAGUGAAGCGGGAAGAGCUCAAAUUUGAAAUCUUAAAGGGUUUCCCUUUACGAAUUGUAGUUUAAAGAAGUGUUUUCUGUUGAGGUUUUGGUAAAAGUUCUUUGGAAUAGGACAUCAUAGAGGGUGAGAAUCCUGUAUUUGACCUUUACUUUCAACUUAUGUGAUACACUUUCAAAGAGUCGGAUUGUUUGGGAAUGCAGUCCAAAAUGGGUGGUAAAUUUCAUCUAAAGCUAAAUAUUGGCGAGAGACCGAUAGCGAACAAGUACCGUGAGGGAAAGAUGAAAAGAACUUUGAAAAGAGAGUUAGACAGUACGUGAAAUUGUCAAAAGGGAAGCGUUUGACACCAGUGUUGUUUUUCUGAAAAUCAAUUAAAGAACUGUUUAUGCUAAGUUGUUUAGACUUUAUCAGCUAACUGUUUAGUUUUGAGCUUUUCUUUAAUGCACUUUUCAGUUAACAAGUCAACAUCAAUUUCUUUUGCUGUAAAAAAGCUUGAGGAAGGUGGCUUGAGAUUCGUCUUAAGUGUUUAUAGCCUCUUGCCUAUGCAGUCGGAGAGAUUGAGGUCUGCAGCGUAGAUCCUUCGGGGCUAAAUGCAUUUGUGCUAAGUUAUAGCAUUUUAUAGACAACUUGUUGACUAUGAUUUGUCUUGUAGCUUACUCGCUUAUGUUAUUUUACCUACGCUUAGGAUGUUGAAUCUGUGCGAGACUAC